Molecule: ribosomal RNA, 1289 nt
Filed under: metagenome
Description: bacterial LSU rRNA
Rfam family: Bacterial large subunit ribosomal RNA
Source: RNAcentral
GCUGUGUGUAUUUCUGCGGUGCCCGUACCGCAAACCGACACAGGUAGGUAGGAAGAAGAUUCUAAGGCCAACGGGAGAAGGGUUGUUAAGGAACUCGGCAAAUUGACCCCGUAACUUCGGGAGAAGGGGUGCUGCAGCAAUGCAGCCGCAGAGAAUCGGCCCAAGCAACUGUUUACCAAAAACACAGGUUUGUGCUAAAUCGAAAGAUGACGUAUACGAGCUGACGCCUGCCCGGUGCUGGAAGGUUAAGAGGAGACGUGCAAGCAUUGAAUCGAAGCCCCAGUGAACGGCGGCCGUAACAAUAACGGUCCUAAGGUAGCGAAACUCCUUGUCAGGUAAGUUCUGACCCGCAUGAAAGGCGUAAUGAUUUGGGCACUGUCUCAACAGCCCGCCCGGCGAAAUUGUAGUACCGGUGAAGAUGCCGGUUACCCGCGACAAGACGGAAAGACCCCAUGGAGCUUUACUGUAGCCUAAUAUUGGGUUUCGAUGUUGCAUGCACAGGAUAGAUGGGACACUGGGAAGCAGGUGCUUUGGCGCUUGUGGAGUGGCCGUUGGGAUACCAUCCUUGCGAUAUUGGAAUUCUAACCUGCGCCUUUGAAUCAAGGCGGGGGACAUUGUUAGGUGGGCAGUUUGACUGGGGCGGUCGCCUCCUAAAGAGUAACGGAGGCGUUCAAAGGUUCGCUCAGCUUGAACGGAAAUCAAGCAAAAGAGUGCAAACGCAGAAGCGAGCCUAACUGCGAGACUGACGGGUCGAGCAGUAACGAAAGUUGGAGUUAGUGAUCCGGUGGUAUGUGAGUGGAAAUGCCAUCGCUCAACGGAUAAAAGUUACCCUGGGGAUAACAGGCUGAUCUCCCCCAAGAGUCCACAUCGACGGGGAGGUUUGGCACCUCGAUGUCGGCUCAUCGCAUCCUGGGGCUGUAUUCGGUCCCAAGGGUUUGGCUGUUCGCCAAUUAAAGCGGUACGCGAGCUGGGUUCAGAACGUCGUGAGACAGUUCGGUCCCUAUCUGUCGUGGGCGCAGGAUAUUUGAUGGGAGCUGUUCCUAGUACGAGAGGACCGGAGCGGACGUACCUCUGGCGCACCAGUUGUUCUGCCAAGAGCAUAGCUGGGCAACUAUGUACGGAUCGGAUAAACGCUGAAAGCAUCUAAGCGCGAAGCCGACCCAAAGAUAAGAUAUCCCAUUGUUUCAAACAAGUAAGACCCCUUGAAGACUACAAGGUUGAUAGGCACGAUGUGUAAGUGGAGCGAUCCAUUCAGCAAGCGUGUACUAAUAGGUCGAGGGCUUGACCAU